ACUGCGGCAAUGGGUGAGCCCCACACCCAGCUGCGCCCUGAGCACCCCAGCAUCCCCCGCAGGCUCCUGGAGCCACUCAGGCUUUGGAUUUGCUUCCUUACACGUCGUGGGCUUGAGAGCCUGACUUGAAAUAUAACGUUAGUGGGUUUGCGGUAAAAGCGGCAGAGAGGAUAGGAUGACAAGCGGGGCAGAGGGGACUGAUGGAAAGCAGGUGUGGAGGAGGAAGAUAGGAGGAGGAGAAAGAGGAAAACAUGACUGACUAAUUAGACUUUGACAACCAAUUAGCAGAUUUUUAGCUUUGCUGAGAAUCAAGUUAGCGCCGGGAAAGUAGGAGGCAAGGAAACCAAACACGCAACGCGCUCCUCUCCUACCGCUGCUUUAGGGCUGCCCCUAACACCGACCCCAUCCAGCGAGGCCAGGCCUUGCUCGGGAUGGAUGGCCACAUCCAUGCAGGUGGAAGUGGGGGGCAUGGCUCUGCCAGCAAAGUGGAGCUCACCGGGACUCCCACUGAGCCGCAAAGCAGAGGAGCUCUCAGCAGCCUUCUCGCAAGAGGACGCGAGGCGCUGCUUGGAACAGACGUCGUUUGUGUGCACCCGCCUGUGUUUUCCCCCCCAGCUAAAGAAAAAAAAAAUAAUAAUGGUCUCUGCAGCCAGGAAUAUCUCGCCCUGCCUUCAGAAUGAUUUCAGGUCUCCCGAGGACAGUUUACGGUCUCGUGCCCUGGUCCUCCCGCACUGCCCUGACUAAUGACAGCUUUGUAAUCCAGUUGGGAAAUAAUCUCACAUCACUGCACUCGGAGCUCGUGAGCUGUAAAACUUCUGGAUUGAACUCCUUCUCCUGGUCACUCCAGCAAGCUGCAAGCAAAUGCAUGAGGGAUGUGGUCAUAAUUGUCAACAGAUUUGUAAAUUUGUGUCAUUAGUUAUGCGCAUAAUGGAUUUUAUUCUAAUGAGCUUGUUCAUAAGAAUGCCAGGAGGACUUGGCCCCUUUGGAGGAAAUAAACUACAAACUUUGCCCAUGCAUUUUAAAACACGUCAGUGGCACAUACAGGGGGAAAAACAACAUUUCCUCUCCUUUCAGAGCACUGCAACACUCACUUAAGUGAAGCUGAAGCAAUAAGCCGCCACUCCUUCCCCCACUGUAAGCUCCUUGUCUACCUUUGCUGGUGUUUCUCCCAUAUACACAGACACUGGCAGAUGGGGGCUUGUUUUUUUUCCACCCAUCAAGUUAAAAAUCUGGAAACCAUCACAGAUCUUUGGGCUAAAGAUACCGGUGUGGAAAUAUCACAGCAGCCCUUUCUCAUGCCCUCCUGAAUGACAUCUAUCUGGGGAUGCAACACUGCCCGAGCCUCAAAGCCAGGCGGAACUGCUGGUCCCUCCUCUGCGCCCCAGGUUAUGGGGUCCUCUCCACAGGGCCUGCUGCACAUGGAGGAGCAGCAAAACUAGUCAGUAUUAAAUCAAUUUUUACUAUAUCUAUUACCAUUAAAUCUAUUCUUAU
Long non-coding RNA from Gallus gallus (chicken), 1491 nucleotides. RefSeq lists it as uncharacterized. The record is from RefSeq and is a predicted model, not a curated record. NCBI's taxonomy places the organism in Eukaryota, Metazoa, Chordata, Aves, Galliformes, Phasianidae. The transcript is spliced from 3 exons.